Molecule: long non-coding RNA, 588 nt
Filed under: Nicotiana benthamiana
Lineage: Eukaryota; Viridiplantae; Streptophyta; Magnoliopsida; Solanales; Solanaceae
Description: long non-coding RNA (NBEN_LNC038934)
Source: RNAcentral
UCCAGCUACAUUGAGUAACAAUGUGUACCUGAUAUUUUAUAGGAAAGAGGUAGAUCAGUAGUGAGCAGCAGUAACACAACACAAUAAACAGAUUUCAACAGCACACGAAUGAUUUUUGAAUCAAAAUCUCUUCAAUCAAUAACCAGAAUCAUAGCAACAGAAAUAACAACAUUCAACUUGAUCAUAAAUGACUCAAUUGAACAUAAAACCCACUCGAAAUCAAUGCCAACAGACCUGUGAACUUCAGCUAACCAUAACUGGACUAAGAUUGUGAAAAAUAACAGCUGAAAGUUGCAAUCUAUCUAAAAUUGUUAAUGGAACAGCAAUUUUUAGUUUUUCUAUGGAUUUUCUAUUGUUUUUGGAUUUUUUGAAGGCUUAAAUUUCAAAAGCAGAUCUGAAAUUUGAAGAGGAAAUUUUGCGAAGAAAUUUUUGAGGCUCAAGCCUUGUAGAAAUUUUCAGGGGGUUUCUCUAUUUUUUGAACUUCUAAUGUUAAAGUUCCUUUCUAAGCUCUCAAUUUCUAAUCUCUAAAUUCAGUCUAAUGUAAAAAAUUCUGUCUGUUUUUCUUACUCUCAAUGCCCUAUCUAAUUG